RNAcentral lists this ribosomal RNA (247 nucleotides) under uncultured bacterium. Its description in RNAcentral is "partial 16S ribosomal RNA". It matches the Rfam family "Bacterial small subunit ribosomal RNA", at positions 107 to 354 of the family's 1533-position model. The record is from RNAcentral.
UGAGUAACGCGUGAGGAACCUGCCCUUCAGAGGGGGACAACAGUUGGAAACGACUGCUAAUACCGCAUGAUACAUUUGAAUCGCAUGGUUUGAAUGUCAAAGAUUUAUCGCUGAAGGAUGGCCUCGCGUCUGAUUAGCUAGUUGGUGGGGUAACGGCCCACCAAGGCGACGAUCAGUAGCCGGACUGGGAGGUUGGCCGGCCACAUUGGGACUGAGAUACGGCCCAGACUCCUACGGGAGGCAGCAG